CCUACGGGGGACAGCAGUGAGGAAUAUUGGUCAAUGGACGAGAGUCUGAACCAGCCAAGUAGCGUGAAGGAUGACUGCCCUAUGGGUUGUAAACUUCUUUUAUAUGGGAAUAAAAUGUUCCACGUGUGGGAUUUUGUAUGUACCAUAUGAAUAAGGAUCGGCUAACUCCGGGCCAGCAGCCGCGGUAAUACGGAGGAUCCGAGCGUUAUCCGGAUUUAUUGGGUUUAAAGGGAGCGUAGGUGGAUUGUUAAGUCAGUUGUGAAAGUUUGCGGCUCAACCGUAAAAUUGCAGUUGAAACUGGCAGUCUUGAGUACAGUAGAGGUGGGCGGAAUUCGUGGUGUAGCGGUGAAAUGCUUAGAUAUCACGAAGAACUCCGAUUGCGAAGGCAGUUCACUGGACUGCAACUGACACUGAGGCUCGAAAGUGUGGGUAUCAAACAGGAUUAGAUACCCGUGUAGUC
Molecule: ribosomal RNA, 460 nt
Filed under: uncultured bacterium
Lineage: Bacteria
Description: partial 16S ribosomal RNA
Rfam family: Bacterial small subunit ribosomal RNA
Source: RNAcentral